RNAcentral lists this ribosomal RNA (785 nucleotides) under uncultured archaeon. RNAcentral's name for it is "bacterial SSU rRNA". It matches the Rfam family "Archaeal small subunit ribosomal RNA", at positions 85 to 876 of the family's 1478-position model. The record is from RNAcentral.
ACGGCUCAGUAACACGUAGCUAACAUACCCUUAAGUCAAGGAUAACCUCGGGAAACUGAGGAUAAUACUUGAUAGAAGUUAAACCCUGGAACGAUUUAACUUUCAAACUCGUGCUUAAGGAUGGGGCUGCGGCGGAUUAGGUAGUUGGCGGGGUAAUAGCCCACCAAGCCAAUGAUCCGUAAGGGCUCUUAGCGGAGAAGCCCUGAGAGGGAAUCUGAGAUACUAUUCCCAGCCCUACGGGGUGCAGCAGGUAGGAAUCUUUUGCAAUGCGCGCAAGCGUGACAAAGCGAGCCAGAGUGCUUUUCAAUUGAAAAGCUUUUGCCAAAUCUAAAAAUUUUGGCGAAUAAGGACUGGGUAAGACUAGUGCCAGCCGCCGCGGUAAUACUAGCGGUCCAAGUCGCAGCCAUCAUUAUUGGGUCUAAAAUAUCCGUAGCUUGCUUAAUAAGUUCCCUGUGAAAUCCUAUCUCUUAAGGAUAGGGCGUGCAGGGAAUACUGCUAAGCUAGAGACUGGAAGACGUAGAAAGUAUGUUCCAAGUAGCGGUAAAAUGUGUUAAUCUGGAGCAGACUCACAAUAGCGAAGGCAUUCUACGAGGACAGUUCUGACAGUAAAGGAUGAAGGCUAGGGGCACAAAAUGGAUUAGAUACCCAUGUAGUCCUAGCAGUAAACACUGCAUACUAAACAUUAGUACCUCUUCGAGAGGUAUUAGUGCUGUAGGGAAGCCGAAGAGUAUGCUACCUGGGAAGUAUAGCCGCAAGGCCGAAACUUAAAGGAAUUGGCGGGGGAG